Molecule: ribosomal RNA, 329 nt
Filed under: uncultured eukaryote
Lineage: Eukaryota
Description: partial 18S ribosomal RNA
Rfam family: Eukaryotic small subunit ribosomal RNA
Source: RNAcentral
CCCUUAGAUGUUCUGGGCCGCACGCGCGCUACACUGAUGCAUUCAACGAGUCUAAAACCUGCUCUGAUAGGGGUGGGUAAUCUUUUGAAUGUGCAUCGUGAUUGGGAUAGAUGAUUGCAAUUUUUCAUCUUCAACGAGGAAUGCCUAGUAAACGCAAGUCAUCAGCUUGCAUUGAUUACGUCCCUGCCCUUUGUACACACCGCCCGUCGCUCCUACCGAUUGAAUGAUCCGAUGAAUAUCAUGGGUUGAGGAUGCAAGUAGGUUCGCCUAUCUUCAUCUUCGAGAAGUGAAGUAAAUCUUAUCAUUUAGAGGAAGGAGAAGUCGUAACA